Non-coding RNA from Triticum urartu, 1360 nucleotides. The record is from RefSeq and is a predicted model, not a curated record. Lineage: Eukaryota; Viridiplantae; Streptophyta; Magnoliopsida; Poales; Poaceae.
GCCAUCUCCCUCUCCCCGAUCCAGACCCCUCCCCCGCCGCCCCUAUCCCCGAUCCAGAUCCGUCCUCCUCCGAUGCCCUCCCCUCCGCUCCAUCCUCCCCUUGGACAAGAUCCGGCGCGCACGUCCCACACAUCGACCGUGCCCUCCCACCCACACAUCACCGCCGCCACCCACCGUCCCGUCUGACCACGCCGCCACCACCCACUGCCCCGUCUGAGCUCGUCACCGUUCUCCGCUCCCGGUCUCAUCCCCCCACACCCGCUGCCCCCUCCCUCUCCUCCUCCCAUCAGAAGAGAAGAGGGAUCUCAUGCGGAUCACAGCAGGGCGUCGAUCUGGACUUCCAUCUGCACGAGGGGACGCGUGGAGCAGGAGGGGCGGCCAUGGCGCCGGCAAAAGAUGGCCGCCUGCUCCGUCCGCACCCAACCUCGCGAGCGGCCGUGUGCGAGGGGACGGCGGCCAGAUGCAACGAAUUUGCACCGUCGCCAUGGGCCGUGCCAUGGAGCUCAAGACGCCCACGCUAACAGGCAUCACCAACUCGACUCGAUGCUCGUUUCGAUUUGGUGUCGUGCUGGCGACCGGGUUCGGAGCGCUCGGAUCGAAGGUGGCCGAGCACUGGUACGAGGUCUACAAGAUGGACAAGAUGGGGGCCAACCUCUGGUUCAUCUACUAGUGGGAGGACAAGGUUUCUUCUGGCUCUGAAUGUUAGGAUGGUCAAUGUCCAUGACAUCUCGCUGAACCACUACACCUGGCUUGCUCGCCGGCGCGCGCGUGCGUGCGUCGAUGCACGGCGCUUCGUCGAGCUGGCCGCACUGCGGCAAUCCCCGGAGCUGGAGCGGGAGGAGGCGACGAGAUGCUGCUGCUGCGGUUGCGUCCUCGGAGGCAGCAGCUGCCCCUCGCCGACCUUACCAACCUUCGGCGUCCGCCAUGAGCUCUGCGCAUGACCCCUUCUACAUCGUUCGGGAGGAGAUCCAGGGCUUGCGGGCUCCACAUCCAAGUCCUGGCCGUCCUCCGCAGCAAGGAGCUAGGCCAAGGGAGCAAACAGCGCCACUGGUUCCUUCAAGGAUGUGUGCUGCUGGUCGAGUCUUGUGGAGAAGCAAGGCGAAUCGGGCAUUGUCUCAAUUGUUCCGCUGUGGAGCUCCAAGCCUAGGAAAUUUCAAGUUCGAAGCGGCGUGUAGCCCUACGCAGCAAAGAUUUGUUCUGUUUGACUGUAAUAAACUGUAAAUAUUAUAGUACUAUAAUAGUAGGCAUAUCUGGGUUGUAAUAGACUAUGCACAGAUUGUAAUAGACUAUGUACAGGAGCUCCAGGCCUAAGAAACUCUACAUUUUUCUGUUCUAUUUAAAAUAUUGAUUAUUUGUGUGA